Non-coding RNA from Termitomyces sp. Mi166#008, 104 nucleotides. Lineage: Eukaryota; Fungi; Basidiomycota; Agaricomycetes; Agaricales; Lyophyllaceae. The record is from the annotation of a GenBank genome assembly.
GGGCACAUGGUGUAGUUGGUUAUCACGCUCGCUUUGCAUCAUAAUCGCCUCUGCGCGACAUCCGGUUCUGCGAGUGGUCUCCGGUUCAAUUCCGGAUGUGUCCA